AGUGAACGCUGGCGGUAGGCCUAACACAUGCAAGUCGAACGGCAGCACAGUAAGAUCUUGCUCUUACGGGUGGCGAGUGGCGGACGGGUGAGGAAUACAUCGGAAUCUACUUUUUCGUGGGGGAUAACGUAGGGAAACUUACGCUAAUACCGCAUACGACCUACGGGUGAAAGCAGGGGAUCUUCGGACCUUGCGCGAUUGAAUGAGCCGAUGUCGGAUUAGCUAGUUGGCGGGGUAAAGGCCCACCAAGGCGACGAUCCGUAGCUGGUCUGAGAGGAUGAUCGGCCACACUGGAACUGAGACACGGUCCAGACUCCUACGGGAGGCAGCAGUGGGGAAUAUUGGACAAUGGGCGCAAGCCUGAUCCAGCCAUACCGCGUGGGUGAAGAGGGCCUUCGGGUUGUAAAGCCCUUUUGUUGGGAAAGAAAAGCAGCAGGUUAAUACCCCGCUGUUCUGACGGUACCCAAAGAAUAAGCACCGGCUAACUUCGUG
Molecule: ribosomal RNA, 492 nt
Filed under: uncultured bacterium
Lineage: Bacteria
Description: partial 16S ribosomal RNA
Rfam family: Bacterial small subunit ribosomal RNA
Source: RNAcentral